CCUACGGGGUGCAGCAGUGGGGAAUAUUGCGCAAUGGGCGAAAGCCUGACGCAGCGACGCCGCGUGAGGGAUGAAGGUCUUCGGAUCGUAAACCUCUGUCAGCAGGGAAGAACGGUCACUGUGCUAAUCAGCAGUGAAUUGACGGUACCUGCAAAGGAAGCACCGGCUAACUCCGUGCCAGCAGCCGCGGUAAUACGGAGGGUGCGAGCGUUAAUCGGAAUUACUGGGCGUAAAGCGCUCGUAGGCGGUAUGUCAAGUCAAGGGUGAAAUCCCCGCGCUCAACGUGGGAACUGCCUUUGAAACUGGCAAACUGGAGUGUGUGAGAGGAUGGUGGAAUUCCAGGUGUAGGGGUGAAAUGCGUAGAUAUCUGGAGGAACAUCAGUGGCGAAGGCGACUAUCUGGCACAUAACUGACGCUGAGGAGCGAAAGCGUGGGUAGCAAACAGGAUUAGAUACCCUUGUAGUC
RNAcentral lists this ribosomal RNA (465 nucleotides) under uncultured bacterium. RNAcentral describes it as "partial 16S ribosomal RNA". It matches the Rfam family "Bacterial small subunit ribosomal RNA", at positions 338 to 795 of the family's 1533-position model. The record is from RNAcentral.